RNAcentral lists this ribosomal RNA (253 nucleotides) under uncultured bacterium. RNAcentral describes it as "partial 16S ribosomal RNA". It matches the Rfam family "Bacterial small subunit ribosomal RNA", at positions 524 to 776 of the family's 1533-position model. The record is from RNAcentral.
UACAGGGGGGGCAAGCGUUGUUCGGAAUUACUGGGCGUAAAGCGCGCGUAGGCGGAUUUGCAAGUCGGGGGUGAAAUCCCGAGGCUCAACCUCGGAACUGCCUUCGAUACUGCAAAUCUCGAGUCCGGAAGAGGUGAGUGGAAUUCCUAGUGUAGAGGUGAAAUUCGUAGAUAUUAGGAAGAACACCAGUGGCGAAGGCGGCUCACUGGUCCGGUACUGACGCUGAGGCGCGAAAGCGUGGGGAGCAAACAGG